UACGUAGGGUGCAAGCGUUACUCGGAAUUACUGGGCGUAAAGCGUGCAUAGGUGGUGCGUUAAGUCUGUCGUGAAAGCCCCGGGCUCAACCUGGGAAUGGCGAUGGAUACUGGCGCGCUAGAGUGCGGUAGAGGAGAGUGGAAUUCCCGGUGUAGCAGUGAAAUGCGUAGAGAUCGGGAGGAACAUCUGUGGCGAAGGCGGCCAUCUGGACCAGCACUGACACUGAGGCACGAAAGCGUGUGGAGCAAACAGG
This 253-nucleotide ribosomal RNA is filed under the name uncultured bacterium. RNAcentral describes it as "partial 16S ribosomal RNA". It matches the Rfam family "Bacterial small subunit ribosomal RNA", at positions 524 to 776 of the family's 1533-position model. The record is from RNAcentral.